RNAcentral lists this ribosomal RNA (398 nucleotides) under uncultured Vibrio sp. RNAcentral describes it as "bacterial SSU rRNA". It matches the Rfam family "Bacterial small subunit ribosomal RNA", at positions 30 to 412 of the family's 1533-position model. Lineage: Bacteria; Pseudomonadati; Pseudomonadota; Gammaproteobacteria; Vibrionales; Vibrionaceae. The record is from RNAcentral.
AUUGAACGCUGGCGGCAGGCCUAACACAUGCAAGUCGAGCGGAAACGAGUUAUCUGAACCUUCGGGGAACGAUAACGGCGUCGAGCGGCGGACGGGUGAGUAAUGCCUGGGAAAUUGCCCUGAUGUGGGGGAUAACCAUUGGAAACGAUGGCUAAUACCGCAUAAUAGCUUCGGCUCAAAGAGGGGGACCUUCGGGCCUCUCGCGUCAGGAUAUGCCCAGGUGGGAUUAGCUAGUUGGUGAGGUAAAGGCUCACCAAGGCAACGAUCCCUAGCUGGUCUGAGAGGAUGAUCAGCCACACUGGAACUGAGACACGGUCCAGACUCCUACGGGAGGCAGCAGUGGGGAAUAUUGCACAAUGGGCGCAAGCCUGAUGCAGCCAUGCCGCGUGUAUGAAGAA